Molecule: long non-coding RNA, 2917 nt
Organism: Cygnus olor (mute swan)
Lineage: Eukaryota; Metazoa; Chordata; Aves; Anseriformes; Anatidae
Exons: 3
Source: RefSeq, a predicted model, not a curated record
GUUAGACAUCACCUCUUUCACCAGAUUGAGAAUCAAGGCCAUCUCUAAACAAAAAGCUGCAUUUCCUUCCUCCAGCUCCCAGUGUGCAGUACUGGCCACUAGAGGACAUCCCAGACCUCUGCAGCUGCUGGCCCCAUUCACAAAGCCACGCUGAAAACCAAGGUCCUAGUCUGCCUCAAUUCAAUAUUAGAGCUGACUGGUUUUUAGGUGACACUGUGUCUGCUUGGAAUCCAGAGCUGGAAUGGCAGGAGCCCUUCAGCACUGGAAAAGUCAUCUGGAAGAAAAUUGCACCAGCACCUGCAUACGCUAUUCUUGUCUCCAGUGAUUUCUGUACAGUUCAGAGUUGCUUGCUUAAGGACUCAAAGCCACUGAAUCUCAAUACCUCAGCAGGAGCUGGUAUUAUACAUGUGCAAUCCGUGGUGUGAGCAAAGCUGCAGGAAUGGUUUGUGUAUGCAUAUGUCUAUAUAUACGUAGCUACCUCUUGGUUUGUCUGGCUCUGUUUACAAACAUCACGAGGCCAAAGGCUGCAAAGCAAUUUGCAGCUCUGGGCAAACCUGUUUUCCAGUGGAUAAAAUUCAGUGCAGGAGUGGGCUAAUAGCACUGACAAGCUAGGAGAGUAAAACAGACUGACUGAGUCUAGACACUGCAAAGAGCCUGGCACUUAUAGUUUAAGCUGACUGCAUGUGCUCUCUCCAGGGGAGAGAGAUUUCCCUGGGGAGGAAGGUUUCAGAAGUUAGGCUUGCAUCCGAAGUGCCCUGGAAUGCCUCUGAUUUCCCCAAGGCUACUCCCUAGUUGCUGUGAAGUAAUUUGGAUCAGUUUUAGACUCGUGACAGUUCAAAUGUAUAAAUAGUACAAACAGAUUAAUUAGCAACAAAGCAGGAAAUAAAUGCAGAUGGCUCCAAGGGAAUUAACAGAAAUGCUGCUCCUUUUAAUCUGUACCUCAAAAGUUGACAGCAGGACUCAGAAACUCAUGACUUUUCUGAGAAAAUAAAGACUAAAUUUCUUCUCGUUUCACCAGUUUCAGGGUAAAAUUUUGCCCUCUCUCCUGAAUAAGAUGGCUCCAAAGGAUCAGGUCAAAAUCUGGAUGACAGGCACCUAAUGCAAAGAUAUCCAGGUUUAGGGGUAUUUUCCUGUGGGCAUCAUUAGCUACCCCUUGGUUAGAAAUGUCUUGUAAAGAACACGGAGUAACACAGACAGGGAGCAGCAGGUUAAUGCACAUGUCCAAGCUUCAAGUGCAGUUACUUCUCUUCAAAAAUCUGGGAAGAGACUCCACUGGAAGUGGGGUGGAGAAGGUGAACUUUGAAGAAGGUUUCCUAAUGACUCAUCACCCCCAAGAGAAGAAAGACACGGCUUAAAAUUGAUCCCUUCCUCCUUUGUUUGUUUGGAAGAUGGAAGAGCAGGAUUUCUUAGCUUGCUCUGAACAUGGGCUGCUAGUUUCGCAUUGCAGUGUUAGAAGGCCAAUACCAGCUCAGGUCUCUACAAAUUGACUCUCAGUUUUACUCUGUGUAAUGAAUAAACAAACCUUCCUCUGUAAGAUUGAAUUAAUUUGGAUUUAUUUGCCUACGUAUAGACAUUGCAUACGUUUUCAUUUAGGCAGUUUACACUGUCAAAGUGGCUCGUCUGGCUUAGCCUUCAAUUUCUGCCCACGCAGGCAGAAUUCAGAGUGGCUUUUGCAGACUUUUUGACCAUGGGACAAAUCCAGCUCAAUAUCAUCUGAGGAAAAGAAGUUAAAUGAAGUUUAACUGAAGUACAUGGAGUGGUUGCCAUAGCAAAAGUGAUGGAAGCCUCUUCAUUUUAGCUGUUGAGAGCAGGGCUGACAAAUGCAUGUGGUACUAUACUCUCUGGAACAUUUCCGCAGCUGAGAUGUACAUCUCCUCUAAUUUACACUUUCCUGAUCAAGAAAUGAACUGAGAGAGAAAGGAAAAAUUAAGGAAGAAAACUUUCCCCUUCUGAAAAGGGACACCAACCCUGCAGACCUCAGAGGAAGGCUGGUGAAAGGGAAGAGGCUGUGGAUUCAAAGGGGGAGAAGGUACAAGAUGCCUCCCUCCAACUGAGAUCUGAGUGCAGUGACCCAGACAAAUACUCUUUGUUUUGGCCACAGAAUCCUAUUGUUUGCCAAUGGAUAUGUUGACCCAACCUCCCAGUGAAUCUGUCUUUAUUUUCUUGCCUCAGUGAGCACAGAGAUCCCAGGAGUGAAUGUUGUUGAUAAUUUACAAUUCUCCAUUGAAUGCUGAGUUUGUCCCACCAGGUCUUACUCCAUUCUGAUGUGUUUCUUUUGGCUUUAACUGAUAACUCCAGGGAGGACUUAAGUACCUCAUUUAUUUCUGUCCCAUGAGGGAAAAAAGAUAACAGCAAAGAAAAAAAAUCUUUUAUUUUUAACGUUCAAUUUUGAUAUUCCUUCACUUCCUCAAGGAUUUUGUUUUCUCACAUCACACCCCAUCAAAGGCUCUGGUCUGUAAGUGAGUAAUAGCUUGUUCUCUGUCCUCUCAUCAUCCACCCCCGCAAAUACUCCUGCCUGGCUCCCAGUGCCAUACCAUCCUCACGUCCAUGAGUGGGUGUGCUAGAGCUUCUACAGAUCAAUAGUAAUUGGAAAAAAAAAACAAAUCUGUGGUCUUGCCUGGGUCAGCGCCUGCUAGGGGAGCACCAGGAGUUUGUGGGAAGCAUGCUGCAGAUGAUGCAGAGGGACAAAAAAAGAACUCCUAGGUCCCAGAGUACCAGCUACAGGUAUCUGUAUCACACAAUACUUCUGCAAACCACUUAAGCUUCAUCUUAUAAAUUAAUACUUGUUUUAUGUGUUCUCUCUAUACCUAAUAGAUAUUGCAGAGUGUUGUUGCCCUGGGAGAGCUUUCCAGUAAACAAACUUGCUGCAGCUGGUUUACAAGGCUAGCACAUUCUGGGCUCCCAGCGAGGUUCCUAU